RNAcentral lists this ribosomal RNA (497 nucleotides) under uncultured bacterium. Its description in RNAcentral is "partial 16S ribosomal RNA". It matches the Rfam family "Bacterial small subunit ribosomal RNA", at positions 28 to 507 of the family's 1533-position model. The record is from RNAcentral.
GAUGAACGCUGGCGGCGUGCCUAAUACAUGCAAGUCGAGCGAACAGACGAGGAGCUUGCUCCUCUGACGUUAGCGGCGGACGGGUGAGUAACACGUGGAUAACCUACCUAUAAGACUGGGAUAACUUCGGGAAACCGGAGCUAAUACCGGAUAAUAUAUUGAACCGCAUGGUUCAAUAGUGAAAGACGGUUUUGCUGUCACUUAUAGAUGGAUCCGCGCCGCAUUAGCUAGUUGGUAAGGUAACGGCUUACCAAGGCAACGAUGCGUAGCCGACCUGAUAGGGUGAUCGGCCACACUGGAACUGGAACACGGUCCAGACUCCUACGGGAGGCAGCAGUAGGGAAUCUUCCGCAAUGGGCGAAAGCCUGACGGAGCAACGCCGCGUGAGUGAUGAAGGUCUUCGGAUCGUAAAACUCUGUUAUUAGGGAAGAACAAAUGUGUAAGUAACUAUGCACGUCUUGACGGUACCUAAUCAGAAAGCCACGGCUAACUACGUG